RNAcentral lists this ribosomal RNA (471 nucleotides) under uncultured bacterium. RNAcentral's name for it is "partial 16S ribosomal RNA". It matches the Rfam family "Bacterial small subunit ribosomal RNA", at positions 28 to 507 of the family's 1533-position model. The record is from RNAcentral.
GACGAACGCUGGCGGCGUGCUUAACACAUGCAAGUCGAACGAUGAAGCCUAGCUUGCUAGGUGGAUUAGUGGCGAACGGGUGAGUAAUACGUGAGUAACCUACCUUUAACUCUGGGAUAAGCCCGGUAAACUGGGUCUAAUACCGGAUACGACCAAUCUCCGCAUGGGGUGUUGGUGGAAAGCGUUAUGUAGUGGUUAUAGAUGGGCUCACGGCCUAUCAGCUUGUUGGUGAGGUAACGGCUCACCAAGGCGACGACGGGUAGCCGGCCUGAGAGGGUGACCGGCCACACUGGGACUGAGACACGGCCCAGACUCCUACGGGAGGCAGCAGUGGGGAAUAUUGCACAAUGGGCGCAAGCCUGAUGCAGCGACGCCGCGUGAGGGAUGACGGCCUUCGGGUUGUAAACCUCUGUUAGCAGGGAAGAAGAGAGAUUGACGGUACCUGAAGAGAAAGCGCCGGCUAACUACGUG